Molecule: small nuclear RNA, 142 nt
Organism: Mus spicilegus (steppe mouse)
Lineage: Eukaryota; Metazoa; Chordata; Mammalia; Rodentia; Muridae
Gene: U4
Rfam family: U4 spliceosomal RNA
About the family: U4 small nuclear RNA (U4 snRNA) is a component of the major U2-dependent spliceosome. The structure of U4 snRNA from yeast and human has been reported.
Source: Ensembl
AGCUUUGCACAGUGGCAGUAUCGUAGCCAAUGAGGUUUAUCCGAGGCGCGAUUAUUGCUAAUUGAAACCUUAAAUCCUGACUUCAGUGACACCUCCUCUAACAAGGCCACACCUCCUAAAAUUUAGUUCUACCAAUUAGGGG